Molecule: long non-coding RNA, 3419 nt
Organism: Wasmannia auropunctata (little fire ant)
Lineage: Eukaryota; Metazoa; Arthropoda; Insecta; Hymenoptera; Formicidae
Exons: 2
Source: RefSeq, a predicted model, not a curated record
CAGAUCUCUAAUUAUUGGCGACACUGCAGAAUCUUCGAAUUAUCUCAAGCGCACGUUCGCUCCUCUCCACAGUCCAUCCGUUCACUCCGGUUCGGAUAUAAGGUAAACGAUUAGGUAUAAAAUCUGUGAGUAUCGCAAAAGGACGAUGCUAAGCCUCUAUGAUCGAAUUUUUGUCUCUACUCAAAUUAACGAUUAAUGAAUAAAUCUGACGAACUCGGAGAGAGUAAUGGAGAUACACUGGCUAGAAUAAAGUUUUUUUAUUACACUGUAACAGCAUACACGAUUUCUCCUGAGUCGCAGGUAAUUUUUUCCCUCCCUUUUAUUACUUCGACAAUAUAUCAAAGGCGUUCCGAUGGAAUCGUUUAUACGAUUGUGAUAUCGAAGCUAAUUUACCAGUUACUUUAGAAAAUUCAUACUGCCGUUUUACAGAAAGGUGUAUAACGCAUUGCCAGUUCAAUUUCUCCCCGCAAUUACGUUCCAGUGACUGUUUGAGAAAACAUAUAUCUUGCAUGGAUCAAAGAUGUAAAAGUUAAGCCUCUUAUCUCCUCUGAUAAAGGACAUCUUACGAUUGAUAAAAGUUCCCAGAUGGAACUGUUUUUGAGAUACGUUAAUAACAUUCACUAUUUUUGUUAAAUUUCACAAACCAUUUUAACUAUAUAUGAUAAAAAUAAUAAGAGCAUAAAUAAUAAGAGUAAUAAUUUUCCCUUCACGAAGGAACGUAUUUUAAAAUUUUUUAAAAACGUAUGAUAAUACAAUUAUUUAAUAAUUUUCCCAAACAGUCCCCGGUUUCAGAGAUAAUCGCAUGGAUAUAUUAAAAUGUAGCACUCCAUAUUUAUUUACGUAUAGUCCUCCAGUUCUUCUUCAACAUGCACCUGUUUCCUAUGCGACAAACUGUUCACACGUGUCUAUUUAUGGCCUCCGAGUAUUAAUUAUCGAUAGAGAUUUCAUAAAAAAGUACUUAGGGCAAUAAAAUCGUCGCUCGUUUUGAUUUUUUUAUAUCUGUUCCGUUAGAUUGCUCUUAGUUGGUGUUUCACGUGACUGUUAGAAAAAAAAAAAAAAAAGAGUACAAAAACAACAUAUAAUCCGUUAAUAAAGAAAUUCGAAUAAAGAGACUAAUACGUUAUAAAAGCGUCAUUAAUCGUUGUCGAUGAUCCAAUAUACAUAUAUAUAUGUAUACCUUAUCGUAAAGUAGAUAUGCGCAUAGGUAACGUAUGCAAAGUGUGGCGCGAAAUAUAAAAUAUGUUAUAAUAUGCAGGCUUAUAUAGAAGCAACCAGUUUGUCUUUUGUUCUCUUUGUACUUUCAACAGCAGCAGAUACGUCGAUUUUGCUCCGCAUGUCUCUUUUAGUACUUAUGUAAUUGUGCUGAGACUUAAUUGAGGCGAAACGGCUCCGAGUUACGUGAUUGAGAAAAGAAAAGGUGAGCAUUAAACGAAAACCCUCUCUGACGUCGCAAAAGUAUUUGAUUAACGCAUGCGAUGGGGGAUACAUUUUUUUUUAGAAUGAAAACGUACCUUAUAGUAAUUAAGAUAUCGCCAGGAAUAUCGAUUAGUUAGAAUAUCGACAGUUAGCGCAAUGUGAUCAAAGAGCGCAUCGUUUCGUCAUGUCGAUCAUAUGAAAAUAACAGUUCAGCGUUUUUCUUAGCAUUUUUCUUUCGGAUUAUCUUCUACAUAUGCGUUAUCGCACGCGCGGUAACAUGGAAAUAUUUCACGGACAUAAGUAUAUAAAAUAUUUAGAAUGCACGUGAAUUUGCAUUAUUUUUUUCCUUCUCACAACUACGUCUCGCGAUUGCGCUUCAUCAUUGCGAAUUUAUAAUUUUAAGAUCGGACACAGAUAGGAUCUGAUCUCAGUUGCCGAGUAUUACCGUGUAUCGUUUACAAUUGUACAAAACUGUACCUCGUGUUAUAUCUAUAGUUAUCGUUCAACGCACGUUUAAUUCACUUUUCAUUCUUAUUAGUUACGAGAGAGCCAUGCUUAAGCGAGAAACAAAAUUUUUAUCUCUCAUAUAGAAUUCCUCACAAGUGGCAAAAUAUGAACAAAAUUAAAACGUACAUUCUUGCUCGUUGUAUUUUCAAACGUUGAGAUCUGUGUUAGAUCUGAAUUGUUCCUCAAUAUUGUCACAGUCGGACAAGCAGGCAAAAUCGUUUUUUAGAAAUUUAUAGCCGUAGUUUCGCCAUUAUUUCAAAUUCAACAGGCAAUUGUACAUGUCGGUUAUUUACAGCAAUGUUACUAUAAUAAUUAAUUAAACAAUUGAUUUUUCGGACGCACUUCUCCAAAUCGUUUUCUGGAAUGUAAAUGUGCUGGUCAUUGCGUGUCGAUAGAUUCUUAUCAAAUUUUCUGUUAUCGUUUCGUUUAAAUAGUUUUACAUUUCUUACUUGUGUUAGACACUUCUAACAUUUGAUUAGCAGCAUUCUGUAUGGCCUAAUAAACGUUUUCGUUCGCGUUUACCUAAUGGAAUUUACUUUUUUUGUUUUCAUUAUCUGCUAUGUAAAGCAUCUGCAUUCAUCUCCAUUGAAAUUAAAAUUUAACUUGAACAUUCACGACUUCGAAGAUAUUCAUGAAAUUAUUCUAGAAUAAACAACUCUCAUUAUUGUGAAAACGUUGCGUGUGAAAGGAUUCAAGGAGGAAACAAAAAAAAUCUGCGUUACAACUCGUACUUGUAAUUCAUAUGUAAAUAAAUAAAUAAAUAAAUGUAUCUAUUUGGAUCUAGCGUUUCACAGCAAGGACAAAAAUAAUUCACGGCGAUGAUUGAAUAAUAAUCACGCAUCGUGAAAUGAGAAUGAAGGUGAUUUUUAGACCUGUCUGAGGUGGCUUCUUACCUGAUAAAGUUUUCGUUUUAAACUUUACACUCUGUCUCUUAUAACAAUAACAACAACAAUAACAAUGAGUACAAUAAUUACAGUAACUGCGAUUUCUUAUAAAUAUUAUUUCGUUUUAAAGGACAUUAUUACUGAUUUGCGUGUGUGAGGAACAUAGAUUACGGUGAUGUUGUACAUAAAAAAUACGUUCGAAACGUGUUCGCGGCGAUGCAGUCUGAAUUCUUCGGUGUCGAACGAAGAAGCGUUUGCAGACAAGCGAGUACAUUGUUAAACGUAUUUGGACAUCGUAUGUACAAAUAACUGCAUCGGUUGUACUUCGCUUAAAAUUAGAUCGAAGCGUUAUCAGAAGUUCGUUAGAAGAUAGAGCGAUAAGUCUUGUCUUUGGUCCCUGAACCUACGACUCUUGUAUGACUUACUGCUUAGCACCUUGAGAUUUUGUCCUCUGAUUACAUACUGCGAGCUAAGAAGUGUAGCCAGCGUGCGAAGGAACAUGCGCGCGUGUAAUGAAAUCUUAAUAGCGCAUAUACUUAUUUAAAAAUAUUCAUUUCUCAAUUCAUACGCAUUCUCGUUAUAUUCCUGCUUCUGCGUUUCAGUCGUUUAUGA